RNAcentral lists this ribosomal RNA (375 nucleotides) under uncultured organism. Its description in RNAcentral is "partial 16S ribosomal RNA". It matches the Rfam family "Bacterial small subunit ribosomal RNA", at positions 527 to 896 of the family's 1533-position model. The record is from RNAcentral.
GUAGGGUGCGAGCGUUUAAUCGGAAUUAUGGGCGUAAAGCGUGCGCAGGCGGCUUUGCAAGACAGAUGUGGAAAUCCCCCGGGGGCUCAACCUGGGGAACUGCAUUUGUGACUGCAAGGCUAGAGUACGGCAGAGGGGGAUGGAAUUUUCGCGUGUAGCAGUGAAAUGCGUGAUAUGCGGAGGAACACCGAUGGCGAAGGCAAUCCCCUGGGCCUGUACUUGACGCUCAUGCACGAAAGCGUGGGGAGCAAACAGGAUUAGAUACCCUGGUAGUCCACGCCCUAAACGAUGUCAACUGGUUGUUGGACGGCUUGCUGUUCAGUAACGAAGCUAACGCGUGAAGUUGACCGCCUGGGGAGUACGGCCGCAAGGUUG